Molecule: ribosomal RNA, 459 nt
Filed under: uncultured bacterium
Lineage: Bacteria
Description: partial 16S ribosomal RNA
Rfam family: Bacterial small subunit ribosomal RNA
Source: RNAcentral
CCUACGGGAGGCAGCAGUGAGGAAUAUUGGUCAAUGGGCGGAAGCCUGAACCAGCCAAGUCGCGUGAGGGAUUAAGGCCCUGCGGGUCGUAAACCUCUUUUGCCGGGGAGCAGAGGUCCGGACGUGUCCGGGCCGGAGAGUACCCGGAGAAAAAGCAUCGGCUAACUCCGUGCCAGCAGCCGCGGUAAUACGGAGGAUGCGAGCGUUAUCCGGCUUUAUUGGGUUUAAAGGGUGCGUAGGCGGGCAAUUAAGCCGGCGGUCAAAUGUAGGGGCUCAACCCCGGACUGCCGGUGAAACUGGGUGCAGUGAGUGGGCGAGAAGUAUGCGGAAUGCGUGGUGUAGCGGUGAAAUGCAUAGAUAGCACGCAGAACCCCGAUUGCGAAGGCAGCAUACCGGCGCCCUACUGACGCUGAGGCACGAAAGUGCGGGUAUCGAACAGGAUUAGAUACCCCUGUAGUC